UACAGAGGGUGCGAGCGUUAAUCGGAAUUACUGGGCGUAAAGCGUGCGUAGACGGUUACGUAAGUCGGGUGUGAAAGCCCCGGGCUCAACCUGGGAAGUGCACCCGAAACUGGCGAGCUUGAGUACGAAAGAGGAUCGCGGAAUUCCCGGUGUAGAGGUGAAAUUCGUAGAUAUCGGGAGGAACACCGGUGGCGAAGGCGGCGAGUCGUGGGUCGAUACGUGACGCUGAGG
RNAcentral lists this ribosomal RNA (231 nucleotides) under uncultured bacterium. RNAcentral's name for it is "partial 16S ribosomal RNA". It matches the Rfam family "Bacterial small subunit ribosomal RNA", at positions 524 to 751 of the family's 1533-position model. The record is from RNAcentral.